AGCAGCCGCCGCGGCAAUACGUAGGUGGCAAGCGUUGUCCGGAAUUAUUGGGCGUAAAGCGCGCGCAGGCGGAUCAGUUAGUCUGUCUUAAAAGUUCGGGGCUUAACCCCGUGAGGGGAUGGAAACUGCUGAUCUAGAGUAUCGGAGAGGAGAGUGGAAUUCCUAGUGUAGCGGUGAAAUGCGUAGAUAUUAGGAAGAACACCAGUGGCGAAGGCGACUUUCUGGACGAAAACUGACGCUGAGGCGCGAAAGCCAGGGGAGCGAACGGGAUUAGAUACCCGAGUAGUCCCUGUCUCUUAUACA
RNAcentral lists this ribosomal RNA (303 nucleotides) under uncultured bacterium. RNAcentral describes it as "partial 16S ribosomal RNA". It matches the Rfam family "Bacterial small subunit ribosomal RNA", at positions 507 to 809 of the family's 1533-position model. The record is from RNAcentral.